Molecule: ribosomal RNA, 256 nt
Filed under: uncultured bacterium
Lineage: Bacteria
Description: partial small subunit ribosomal RNA
Rfam family: Bacterial small subunit ribosomal RNA
Source: RNAcentral
AGGACGAACGCUGGCGGCGUGCUUAACACAUGCAAGUCGAGCGGAAAGGCCCUUCGGGGUACUCGAGCGGCGAACGGGUGAGUAACACGUGAGUAAUCUGCCCCUAGCUCUGGGAUAGCUCCGGGAAACCGGGAUUAAUACCGGAUACGACCACUACGGACAUCUGUGGUGGUGGAAAGAACUUCGGCUAGGGAUGAGCUCGCGGCCUAUCAGCUUGUUGGUGGGUAACGCCUACCAAGGCGACGACGGGUAGCCC